This 447-nucleotide ribosomal RNA is filed under the name uncultured organism. Its description in RNAcentral is "bacterial SSU rRNA". It matches the Rfam family "Bacterial small subunit ribosomal RNA", at positions 32 to 507 of the family's 1533-position model. The record is from RNAcentral.
AAUCAACGUUGGCGGCGCGCCUAACACAUGCAAGUCGAACGAGAAAGUGGAGCAAUCCAUGAGUACAGUGGCGUACGGGUGAGUAACACGUGGGUAAUCUGCCUGUUAGUGGGGAAUAACCCUGGGAAACCGGGGCUAAUACCGCAUAAGUUCGCAAGAAGAAAGUCGAAAGACGCUGACAGAGGAGCCCGCGGCCGAUUAGCUAGUUGGCAGGGUAAAAGCCUACCAAGGCGACGAUCGGUAGCCGGCCUGAGAGGGCACACGGCCACACUGGCACUGAAACACGGGCCAGACUCCUACGGGAGGCAGCAGUGGGGAAUCUUGCACAAUGGGGGAAACCCUGAUGCAGCGACGCCGCGUGAGUGAUGAAGCCCUUCGGGGUGUAAAGCUCUUUCGACGGGAACGAUUAUGACGGUACCCGGAGAAGAAGCUGCGGCUAACUACGUG